GAACACAAGCACAAUACUGGAAAUCACCUAUAUCAGACUGGAACACAAGCACAAUACUGGAAAUCACCUAUAUCAGACUGGAACACAAGCACAAUACUGGAAAUCACCUAUAUCAGACUGGAACACAAGCACAAUACUGGAAAUCACCUAUAUUUGACUGGAAUGACCUAUUGCUAAUUUGUCAAACACUUAUCCAGAGCAACUUAGUCAAUGCAUUCAACUAAGGUGGGUAAGAAAACCAAAAAUCCCAGUCACUGUAAGUAAACUAUUUAUUUUACAUUUAAUUUAACACUACUGACCUUUAUCAUUUCUCAAAUAUAGACAUUCAGACUCAAAUAGUUCACGUCGUCUAGUGACCCACCAAAUAAACAACGCUUCUAAAAACAGUUGUUGUAAUUGUGAAUUGGCACGUGGCUGAGGAAAUUGCAACAAAAACAUAAACUUGGCUAACACUAGCCCUGCUGAUGUAAAAAGUUAGACCAACUCAACUGUUUUUUUCCAGCCAAGAGUUAAACAUCACCCUUAUUAACUGUGAUAAAGAUGUAGAUUGAUAACAGAGAAAACAUCUACGCUGUUACAUUAGAGAUUCAAAGGUCUCCUGGUCAGUACAGGUGAGUGUCUAUCGCUUGUCGUCUUAGGAACAGGUAUCACUUGUCGUCUUAGGAACAGGUAUCACUUGUCGUCUUAGGAACAGGUAUCACUUGUCGUCUUAGGAACAGGUAUCACUUGUCGUCUUAGGAACAGGUAUCACUUGUCGUCUUAGGAACAGGUAUCACUUGUCGUCUUAGGAACAGGUAUCACUUGUCGUCUUAGGAACAGGUAUCACUUGUCGUCUUAGGAACAGGUAUCACUUGUCGUCUUAGGAACAGGUAUCACUUGUCGUCUUAGGAACAGGUAUCACUUGUCGUCUUAGGAACAGGUAUCACUUGUCGUCUUAGGAACAGGUAUCACUUGUCGUCUUAGGAACAGGUAUCACUUAUUGCCUUAGGAACAGGUAUCACUUAUUGCCUUAGGAACAGGUAUCACUUAUUGCCUUAGGAACAGGUAUCACU
Oncorhynchus keta (chum salmon) is the source of this 1052-nucleotide long non-coding RNA. RefSeq lists it as uncharacterized. The transcript is spliced from 3 exons. The record is from RefSeq and is a predicted model, not a curated record. NCBI's taxonomy places the organism in Eukaryota, Metazoa, Chordata, Actinopteri, Salmoniformes, Salmonidae.